This is a non-coding RNA of Fukomys damarensis (Damara mole-rat), 196 nucleotides long. NCBI's taxonomy places the organism in Eukaryota, Metazoa, Chordata, Mammalia, Rodentia, Bathyergidae. The record is from Rfam.
AUCGCUUCUCGGCCUUUUGGCUAAGAUCAAGUGUAAAAUUGUUCUACAUAUACAUUUUUUGUAUUGUUGAUAUAAUUUUAUGAAUAUACUGUUAUUGACUUAUCUAUCAAGCAAAUUUAUUCUUAGACAGCAGCAAAGUACCAGUGAUAAAUACAUGGAGAAGAAGAAAACUAUAUCUUCUUACAUCUGUUCUUAU